This 944-nucleotide ribosomal RNA is filed under the name uncultured organism. RNAcentral's name for it is "bacterial SSU rRNA". It matches the Rfam family "Bacterial small subunit ribosomal RNA", at positions 25 to 1013 of the family's 1533-position model. The record is from RNAcentral.
CAGGAUGAACGCUGGCGGUCUGCUUAACACAUGCAAGUCGAACGCAACCUUCGGGUUGAGUGGCGGACGGGUGAGUAACGCGUGAGAAUCUGCCUUGGGGUCGGGGACAACCACUGGAAACGGUGGCUAAUACCGGAUAAGCCUUUGGGUAAAAGAUUUAUUGCCCCAAGAGGAGCUCGCGUCUGAUUAGCUAGUUGGUGAGGUAAAAGCUCACCAAGGCAGCGAUCAGUAGCUGGUCUGAGAGGACGAUCAGCCACACUGGGACUGAGACACGGCCCAGACUCCUACGGGAGGCAGCAGUGGGGAAUUUUCCGCAAUGGGCGAAAGCCUGACGGAGCAAGACCGCGUGAGGGAGGAAGGCUCUUGGGUUGUAAACCUCUUUUCUCAGGGAAGAAGCUCUGACGGUACCUGAGGAAUCAGCCUCGGCUAACUCCGUGCCAGCAGCCGCGGUAAUACGGAGGAGGCAAGCGUUAUCCGGAAUUAUUGGGCGUAAAGCGUCCGCAGGUGGCGAUUCAAGUCUGCUGUCAAAGCACGGGGCUUAACUCCGUUAAGGCAGUGAAAACUGAAUAGCUAGAGUGCCGUAGGGGUAGAGGGAAUUCCCGGUGUAGCGGUGAAAUGCGUAGAGAUCGGGAAGAACAUCGGUGGCGAAAGCGCUCUACUGGACGGCAACUGACACUCAGGGACGAAAGCUAGGGGAGCGAAUGGGAUUAGAUACCCCAGUAGUCCUAGCUGUAAACGAUGGAUACUAGGUGUAGCUUGUAUCGACCCGAGCUGUGCCGAAGCUAACGCGUUAAGUAUCCCGCCUGGGGAGUACGCACGCAAGUGUGAAACUCAAAGGAAUUGACGGGGGCCCGCACAAGCGGUGGAGUAUGUGGUUUACUUCGAUGCAACGCGAAGAAACUUACCAGGGCUUGACCUGUCCGGAAUCCCGGUGAAAGCUGGGA